ACUGGAGGGGAACCAGAGGGGAAGAGAGAAGAUAAGACAGAAGCAAGGACAAAUUAAGCGAUGGCAUUUCAGCCUCCUUAUUCCCCCAGCCUCUUCAGAAAAAGGGACAACUCCUACCCCUGUGUUUGCUUUGUGGCUUGUCCUGCACCUCUCACACCGUGUCUUUUUCCGCUUCUCCUGACACAAGACCCUGUGUUUCGCUGGCAACGUCGGCAAAAUCUUUGGGCGGAACAUUCCCCAUAGAAAAUAAGGAAGACUUGCCUAUAAAGAGUUUCCUUUGGGCUGCGUGGUACACAAUGCUUCAAGUGUGACAAAAAGGGAAGUGAGAUGUUCCCCCUCACCGCCACCCCCCCCAGCCCUACCGCACGCACCCACCCCUAGUCUGCUCCCCACCUCUCAGCGGGGUGCUGAGAUCGGGCCCACGAGUUCUGCUACCCAGACUGCCCAGUCUCUGUCCCGCCUUCCCGUGGGAACCCCGAGUAGGAAGCACUCUUGUCUUAGAGAGUCUGGCUUUUUGAGCGGG
Molecule: long non-coding RNA, 523 nt
Organism: Mustela erminea (ermine)
Lineage: Eukaryota; Metazoa; Chordata; Mammalia; Carnivora; Mustelidae
Exons: 2
Source: RefSeq, a predicted model, not a curated record